This 327-nucleotide ribosomal RNA is filed under the name uncultured eukaryote. Its description in RNAcentral is "partial 18S ribosomal RNA". It matches the Rfam family "Eukaryotic small subunit ribosomal RNA", at positions 1470 to 1796 of the family's 1831-position model. The record is from RNAcentral.
CCCUUAGAUGUUCUGGGCUGCACGCGCGCUACACUGAAGCGUUCAACGAGUAUUUCACCUUGCCCGGGAGGGUUGGGUAAUCUUUUUAAAACGCUUCGUGAUGGGGAUAGAUUAUUGCAAUUAUUAAUCUUCAACGAGGAAUUCCUAGUAAGCGCGAGUCAUCAGCUCGUGCUGAUUACGUCCCUGCCCUUUGUACACACCGCCCGCCGCUCCUACCGAUUGAGUGAUCCGGUGAAUAAUUCGGACUGCAGCAGUGCUUGGUCCUCCGGGCUUUGCAGUGGAAAGUUUAGUGAACCUUAUCACUUAGAGGAAGGAGAAGUCGUAACA